UAGGGAAUCUUCGGCAAUGGACGAAAGUCUGACCGAGCAACGCCGCGUGAGUGAAGAAGGUUUUCGGAUCGUAAAACUCUGUUGGUAGAGAAGAACGUUGGUGAGAGUGGAAAGCUCAUCAAGUGACGGUAACUACCCAGAAAGGGACGGCUAACUACGUGCCAGCAGCCGCGGUAAUACGUAGGUCCCGAGCGUUGUCCGGAUUUAUUGGGCGUAAAGCGAGCGCAGGUGGUUUAUUAAGUCUGGUGUAAAAGGCAGUGGCUCAACCAUUGUAUGCAUUGGAAACUGGUAGACUUGAGUGCAGGAGAGGAGAGUGGAAUUCCAUGUGUAGCGGUGAAAUGCGUAGAUAUAUGGAGGAACACCGGUGGCGAAAGCGGCUCUCUGGCCUGUAACUGACACUGAGGCUCGAAAGCGUGGGGAGCAAACAGGAUUAGAUAGCCCUGGUAGUCCACGCGUAAACGAUGAGUGCUAGAUGUAGGGAGCUAUAAGUUCUCUGUAUCGCAGCUAACGCAAUAAGCACUCCGCCUGGGGAGUACGACCGCAAG
Molecule: ribosomal RNA, 545 nt
Filed under: uncultured bacterium
Lineage: Bacteria
Description: partial 16S ribosomal RNA
Rfam family: Bacterial small subunit ribosomal RNA
Source: RNAcentral